RNAcentral lists this unclassified non-coding RNA (219 nucleotides) under uncultured bacterium. RNAcentral describes it as "contains 16S-23S intergenic spacer region". The record is from RNAcentral.
GGGUAAAACGCGAAGCGCGGGGCGUCCGGCAUGCCAUAGUGGUCGUGUCGUAUCGGAUAAACGCUGGAGCUGUAUCGAUAACCGGCUUUUUUCAGAGCCGCUUGUGCCCACAGAUUGGUGCUGCCUAUGGAGAAGCUGGGCGCACGGUAGCCCUGCACCGCCACGCCCCCAAUAUCCUCGAGCAGGCGCUUGGCAUGAGUUACGUCCUCAUCAAACUCC